RNAcentral lists this unclassified non-coding RNA (391 nucleotides) under soil metagenome. RNAcentral's name for it is "partial contains 5.8S ribosomal RNA, internal transcribed spacer 2, and large subunit ribosomal RNA". The stretch from base 3 to 122 matches the Rfam family "5.8S ribosomal RNA", at positions 37 to 154 of the family's 154-position model. The record is from RNAcentral.
GGUGAAGAACGUAGCGAAAUGCGAUACUUGGUGUGAAUUGCAGAAUCCCGUGAACCAUCGAGUCUUUGAACGCAAGUUGCGCCCGAAGCCAUUAGGCCGAGGGCACGCCUGCCUGGGCGUCACACGUCGUUGCCCCCCCAUCUACUCCUUCGGGAUUGCGGGGGGCGGAUGAUGGCCUCCCGUGCGCCUCGUCGCGCGGUUGGCCUAAAUGCCAAGUCCUCGGCGACGCACGCCACGACAAUCGGUGGUUGCGAAACCUCGGUUGCCCGUCGUGUGCGGUCGUCGCGCAUCGAGGGCUCGAAAAAAUUGCCGGGCUUCGGCUCGACUUUCAACGCGACCCCAGGUCAGGCGGGGUUACCCGCUGAAUUUAAGCAUAUCAAUAAGCGGAGGA